AUAUUAAAGAUUUUUAUCUUUCUUAUUGGUUCUAAGAUAAGAAUAAUGAUUAAUAGGGACAGUUGGGGGCAUUUGUAUUUAACAGUCAGAGGUGAAAUUUUAGAUUUGUUAAAGACAAACUAAUGCGAAAGCAUUUGCCUAGGUUUUUCAUUAAUCAAGAACGAAAGUUAGGGGAUCGAAGACGAU
RNAcentral lists this ribosomal RNA (186 nucleotides) under Cryptosporidium parvum. RNAcentral's name for it is "partial 18S ribosomal RNA". It matches the Rfam family "Eukaryotic small subunit ribosomal RNA", at positions 820 to 1008 of the family's 1831-position model. Lineage: Eukaryota; Apicomplexa; Conoidasida; Eucoccidiorida; Cryptosporidiidae. The record is from RNAcentral.